This 379-nucleotide unclassified non-coding RNA is filed under the name Hevea brasiliensis (rubber tree). Lineage: Eukaryota; Viridiplantae; Streptophyta; Magnoliopsida; Malpighiales; Euphorbiaceae. The record is from RNAcentral.
CUUUCAAUCUCCAGCGAAGAUUAGAGUUUGCAGAUUUGAUCUAUAAUUUGUCUAGAUUAGAGCAGGAUUUAUUGUACAAAAGAAUCUUCAAAGUAUACAUAUAUUUUUGAGCUCCUCUGUAAUUCUUUGUACUCUUUAUAUUGUGUGAUCUUUGGUAGAAUGAAUCUAUUUACUUAUUAAAAAAACACAUGUAUACAAGAUUCAAUUCAUUACUUUUUUAAGUCAUAAGAUUAUCAUAAAUUAGAAUCGCAAAUAACACCACUCUAAACAUAAUACCCAGAAAUGAAACCAAAGGGAAAAAGCAGCAUCAUGUACCUGAAUUAAUUGGUGAAUAGGUAGAUCAGAAGCAGCUGAACCAAUUAUCAGAACACCUCUGUGA